Oryza rufipogon (brownbeard rice) is the source of this 208-nucleotide microRNA precursor. It matches the Rfam family "MIR812 microRNA precursor family". Lineage: Eukaryota; Viridiplantae; Streptophyta; Magnoliopsida; Poales; Poaceae. The record is from Rfam.
AAUAAGUGUAGUUUUACACUAUUUACGUUUAACAUUUGACCGUUCGUCUUAUUUGAAAUUUUUUUAUGAUUAGUAUUUUUAUUGCUAUUAGAUGAUAAAACAUUAAUAAUACUUUAUAUGCGACUAAAUAUUUUCAAAUUUUUUAUAAAUUUUUCAAAUAAGACGAACGGUAAAACGUUAGGCACAGAUAUUCACGACUGCAUUUAUU